RNAcentral lists this ribosomal RNA (348 nucleotides) under uncultured Rikenellaceae bacterium. Its description in RNAcentral is "bacterial SSU rRNA". It matches the Rfam family "Bacterial small subunit ribosomal RNA", at positions 1034 to 1382 of the family's 1533-position model. The record is from RNAcentral. Lineage: Bacteria; Pseudomonadati; Bacteroidota; Bacteroidia; Bacteroidales; Rikenellaceae.
CGAGGUGCUGCAUGGUUGUCGUCAGCUCGUGCCGUGAGGUGUCGGGUUAAGUCCCAUAACGAGCGCAACCCCUACUGCUAGUUGCCAGCGGGUCAUGCCGGGGACUCUAGCGGAACUGCCAGCGUAAGCUGCGAGGAAGGUGGGGAUGACGUCAAAUCAGCACGGCCCUUACGUCCAGGGCUACACACGUGUUACAAUGGCCAGUACAGAGGGCAGCCACCCGCGAGGGGGCGCUAAUCCUAAAAGCUGGUCCCAGUUCGGAUCGGAGUCUGCAACCCGACUCCGUGAAGCUGGAUUCGCUAGUAAUCGCGCAUCAGCCACGGCGCGGUGAAUACGUUCCCGGGCCUU